Molecule: non-coding RNA, 45 nt
Filed under: Schistosoma margrebowiei
Lineage: Eukaryota; Metazoa; Platyhelminthes; Trematoda; Strigeidida; Schistosomatidae
Source: RNAcentral
AUUCAGCUGACGAGUCCCGAACAGGACGAAACGCGAGUCCUGGAU